AUUGAACGCUGGCGGCAUGCUUUACACAUGCAAGUCGGACGGCAGCACAGAGAAGCUUGCUUCUUGGGUGGCGAGUGGCGAACGGGUGAGUAAUAUAUCGGAACGUACCGAGUAAUGGGGGAUAACUAAUCGAAAGAUUAGCUAAUACCGCAUAUUCUCUGAGGAGGAAAACAGGGGACCUUCGGGCCUUGCGUUAUUCGAGCGGCCGAUAUCUGAUUAGCUAGUUGGUGGGGUAAAGGCCUACCAAGGCGACGAUCAGUAGCGGGUCUGAGAGGAUGAUCCGCCACACUGGGACUGAGACACGGCCCAGACUCCUACGGGAGGCAGCAGUGGGGAAUUUUGGACAAUGGGCGCAAGCCUGAUCCAGCCAUGCCGCGUGUCUGAAGAAGGCCUUCGGGUUGUAAAGGACUUUUGUCAGGGAAGAAAAGGCUGUGGCUAAUAUCAAGAGCUGAUGACGGUACCUGAAGAAUAAGCACCGGCUAACUACGUG
Molecule: ribosomal RNA, 490 nt
Filed under: uncultured bacterium
Lineage: Bacteria
Description: partial 16S ribosomal RNA
Rfam family: Bacterial small subunit ribosomal RNA
Source: RNAcentral